GAUGAACGCUAGCGGCAGGCUUAAUACAUGCAAGUCGAGGGGCAGCAGGGAUAGCAAUAUUCGCUGGCGACCGGCGCACGGGUGCGUAACACGUAUACAAUCUGCCUUUUACUGGGGGAUAGCCUUUCGAAAGAGAGAUUAAUACCCCAUAAUAGAUUCUUUGGCAUCAAAGGAUUUUGAAAGUUCCGACGGUAAGAGAUGAGUAUGCGUCUGAUUAGCUAGUAGGUGAGGUAACGGCUCACCUAGGCAACGAUCAGUAGGGGAUCUGAGAGGACUGACCCCCACACGGAUACUGAGACACGGAUCCGACUCCUACGGGAGGCAGCAGUAAGGAAUAUUGGACAAUGCCCGCAAGGGUGAUCCAGCCAUGCCGCCGUGCAGGAAGACGGCCCGUAUGGGUUGUAAACUGCUUUUAUUACAAGAGGAAAACCCAAUCUACGUUGUAGAUGGCUGAUAGUAUUGUAGG
RNAcentral lists this ribosomal RNA (466 nucleotides) under uncultured bacterium. Its description in RNAcentral is "bacterial SSU rRNA". It matches the Rfam family "Bacterial small subunit ribosomal RNA", at positions 28 to 484 of the family's 1533-position model. The record is from RNAcentral.